UGGGGAAUAUUGCACAAUGGGCGCAAGCCUGAUGCAGCGACGCCGCGUGGGGGAUGACGGCCUUCGGGUUGUAAACCUCUUUCAGCAGGGACGAAGCGAAAGUGACGGUACCUGCAGAAGAAGCACCGGCCAACUACGUGCCAGCAGCCGCGGUAAUACGUAGGGUGCGAGCGUUGUCCGGAAUUACUGGGCGUAAAGAGCUCGUAGGUGGUUUGUCGCGUUGUUCGUGAAAACCGGGGGCUUAACCCUCGGCGUGCGGGCGAUACGGGCAGACUAGAGUACUGCAGGGGAGACUGGAAUUCCUGGUGUAGCGGUGGAAUGCGCGGAUAUCAGGAGGAACACCGGUGGCGAAGGCGGGUCUCUGGGCAGUAACUGACGCUGAGGAGCGAAAGCGUGGGGAGCGAACAGGAUUAGAUACCCUGGUAGUCCACGCCGUAAACGGUGGGUACUAGGUGUGGGUUUCCUUCCUUGGGAUCCGUGCCGUAGCUAACGCAUUAAGUACCCCGCCUGGGGAGUACGGCCGCAAGGCUAAAACUCAAAUGAAUUGACGGGGGUCAUAGCUG
RNAcentral lists this ribosomal RNA (563 nucleotides) under uncultured bacterium. RNAcentral describes it as "partial 16S ribosomal RNA". It matches the Rfam family "Bacterial small subunit ribosomal RNA", at positions 355 to 928 of the family's 1533-position model. The record is from RNAcentral.